This 856-nucleotide ribosomal RNA is filed under the name uncultured organism. RNAcentral's name for it is "bacterial SSU rRNA". It matches the Rfam family "Bacterial small subunit ribosomal RNA", at positions 469 to 1323 of the family's 1533-position model. The record is from RNAcentral.
UUGACGGUACCCUACUAGAAAGGAGCCGCUAACUUCGUGCCAGAAGCGUCGGUAAUACGGGGGCUCCAAGCGUUAUCCGGUGUUAUUGGGCGUAAAGAGUCGUGUAGGUGGUUGGGUAAGUUAUCUUUCAAAUAUCUUUGCUUAACAAAGAGGAGGGGGAUAAUACUGCUCGACUAGAAUUUUCUCAAGGGAGAUCGGAACUGAGGGAGGAGUAGUGAAAUGCGUUGAUACCCUCGGGAACACCAGUGGCGUAGGCGGAUCUCUGGGAGAAGAUUGACACUGAGACACGAAAGCUAGGGGAGCGAAGCAGAUUAGAGACCUGCGUAGUCCUAGCCGUAAACGCAUGCUUGCUAGCUGCAUGAAUCUACCUUCGGGUGGUAUCGUGUGGCGAAGGUAACCCGUUAAGCAAGCCGCCUGGAAAGUACGGCCGCAAGGCUGAAAUUCAAAGGAAUUGGCGGGGAGGCACACAACCAGUGGAACAUGUGGUUUAAUUCGAGACUAACCGAAGAACCUCACCAGGGUUUGACAUGUAGCUGCACGUCUUAAGAAAUUAAGACUCUCUUGAAGGUGCUACACAGGUGCUGCAUGGCUGUCGUCAGCUCGUUCCGUGAGGAGUGCCCUUAAGUGGGACAACGAGCGCAACCCCUAUUACAUGUUAGAAAUGUCAUGUAAGACUGCCUUGCCAUUUGGCGGGGAGGAAGGAGGGGCAGACGUCAAGUCCGCAUGGUCCUUAUGCCCUGGGCUACACACAUGUUACAAUGAGUACGGCAAUGAGUCUGUCGCGAGCACGUAAGUGUAAGCUAAUCUCUUAAAUGUACUCUCAGUGGGGAUUGAGGUCUGCAACUCGACCUCAUGA